This is a long non-coding RNA of Apodemus sylvaticus (European woodmouse), 521 nucleotides long. RefSeq lists it as uncharacterized. The record is from RefSeq and is a predicted model, not a curated record. Lineage: Eukaryota; Metazoa; Chordata; Mammalia; Rodentia; Muridae. The transcript is spliced from 3 exons.
UCAACCAAACCGGGCCCUUAGUCCCGCCUCGCUGCUCAGCGCGGAUUGGUGGUGCGGACAAUCUCUGUCGCUGAUUGGACAGCGGCGAAGUCGCUCCCGCAGACCGUAGCCUCUGGCCGCAGUGGAGCACUAAGUGUGCCUUCAGACACGGGGCCGCGCCGUCCCAGAGUCGGAGCCCUUUGAGGUGGCUUAGGCGGUGUCCUUGAGUUGACAGCAUCACCCCGCCCCGCAUCUUCCUCCCCUCUGUUUUGUUUUUCAUCUCUCCCUCCUCCCUCCAGUCCCCGUCGACUGGCCCUAGACCCUCGCUGAAGGCUUCUGGUUACUCCCAUUCCCACCCUAUCUCUUAAUUUUAUUCUUUUGAAGAAUCUGCUGUUCCAGCUAUCAAGGUGGAGAGUGAUUACAGAAAGAAGUGUUCAUUCUUUCAGAUCAAGAUGUAGCUCUCAGCUCCACCUCCAGGACCAUGCCUGCCUGCUGCCAUGCUCUCUACUAUGAUGGAUGGAACUGUAAGCAAGCCCACAAUU